This 253-nucleotide ribosomal RNA is filed under the name uncultured bacterium. Its description in RNAcentral is "partial 16S ribosomal RNA". It matches the Rfam family "Bacterial small subunit ribosomal RNA", at positions 524 to 776 of the family's 1533-position model. The record is from RNAcentral.
UACGUAGGGGGCGAGCGUUAUCUGGAAUUACUGGGCGUAAAGCGCACGCAGGCGGUUCGCCAAGUUUGGAGUGACAGUUGUCGGCUCAACCGACAAAGGACUUCAAAAACUGGUGAACUUGAGGACGAGAGAGGAACAUGGAACUCCAGGUGUAGUAGUGAAAUGCGUAGAUAUCUGGAAGAACACCAAUGGCGAAGGCAAUGUUCUGGCUCGUUUCUGACGCUCAGGUGCGAAAGCCAGGGGAGCGAACGGG